CAGUAGCCACGGUAAUACGUAGGUGGCAAGCGUUGUCCGGAAUUAUUGGGCGUAAAGGGCUCGCAGGCGGUUUCUUAAGUCUGAUGUGAAAGCCCCCGGCUCAACCGGGGAGGGUCAUUGGAAACUGGGAAACUUGAGUGCAGAAGAGGAGAGUGGAAUUCCACGUGUAGCGGUGAAAUGCGUAGAGAUGUGGAGGAACACCAGUGGCGAAGACGACUCUCUGGUCUGUAACUGACGCUGAGGAGCGAAAGCGUGGGGAGCGAACAGGAUUAGAUACCCCCGUAGUCCCUGUCUCUUAUAC
RNAcentral lists this ribosomal RNA (301 nucleotides) under uncultured bacterium. RNAcentral describes it as "partial 16S ribosomal RNA". It matches the Rfam family "Bacterial small subunit ribosomal RNA", at positions 509 to 807 of the family's 1533-position model. The record is from RNAcentral.